GGAUCCUCUAAGCUGAUUUCAACUUCUGUGAUUAAGGUUGUCACGUUGCCUCCGUGUUGGGAAAGAGACAAAGGUUUUCUGGAAGGAUUCCUUCGUUGAUAAAGAUGUAAGCUGUUUUCCUGGGAAGGGAAGAACAAGUUGGCACUAGUGGACCUGCCUGAAGGGGUUUGGCGCCUUCCGUGAUGACAAGCUCUUUGGCGGCAUCUACACAGCACAAGCGUGGAGACCUGGUGUGUAGCCGCCGGACCCGAAGGCAGGCUCCUUCCUGGAUGAGUAGGCGAGGAUGGCAGCGUUGUCUUUGGAGCCAGGAGGCCAG
Long non-coding RNA from Phacochoerus africanus (Common warthog), 316 nucleotides. RefSeq lists it as uncharacterized. The record is from RefSeq and is a predicted model, not a curated record. The transcript is spliced from 4 exons. NCBI's taxonomy places the organism in Eukaryota, Metazoa, Chordata, Mammalia, Artiodactyla, Suidae.